GACGAACGCUGGCGGCGUGCUUAACACAUGCAAGUCGAACGAUGAAGCCCAGCUUGCUGGGUGGAAGAGUGGCGAACGGGUGAGUAACACGUGAGUAACCUGCCCUGAACUCUGGGAUAAGCACUGGAAACGGUGUCUAAUACUGGAUACGACCUAUCACCGCAUGGUGUGUGGGUGGCAAGAUUUAUCGGUUCUGGAUGGACUCGCGGCCUAUCAGCUAGAUGGUGAGGUAAUGGCUCACCAUGGCGACGACGGGUAGCCGGCCUGAGAGGGUGACCGGCCACACUGGGACUGAGACACGGCCCAGACUCCUACGGGAGGCAGAAGUGGGGAAUAUUGCACAAUGGGCGCAAGCCUGAUGCAGCAACGCCGCGUGAGGGAUGACGGCCUUCGGGUUGUAAACCUCUUUUAGUAGGGAAGAAGCGAAAGUGACGGUACCUGCAGAAAAAGCACCGGCUAACUACGUG
RNAcentral lists this ribosomal RNA (467 nucleotides) under uncultured bacterium. RNAcentral describes it as "partial 16S ribosomal RNA". It matches the Rfam family "Bacterial small subunit ribosomal RNA", at positions 28 to 507 of the family's 1533-position model. The record is from RNAcentral.